GCGAAAGUGGCGAAAUGGCAGACGCGCGGCGCUUAGGACGCCGUCCCGAAAGGGGUGGGGGUUCGAGUCCCCCCUUUCGCACCA
This 84-nucleotide transfer RNA is filed under the name Acidobacteriota bacterium. RNAcentral's name for it is "Acidobacteria bacterium (rhizosphere metagenome) tRNA-Leu". It matches the Rfam family "tRNA". Rfam says of the family: Transfer RNA (tRNA) molecules are approximately 80 nucleotides in length. Their secondary structure includes four short double-helical elements and three loops (D, anti-codon, and T loops). Lineage: Bacteria; Pseudomonadati; Acidobacteriota. The record is from RNAcentral.